This 183-nucleotide unclassified non-coding RNA is filed under the name uncultured Ascomycota. Its description in RNAcentral is "sequence contains ITS1". The record is from RNAcentral. Lineage: Eukaryota; Fungi; Ascomycota.
CCGAGUUCGUGCCCCUCGCGGGUAGAUCUCCCACCCUUGUGUAUCUCUUGUGUUUGUGUUGCUUUGGCAGGCCGUGGGCCCCCUGUGCUCACCACCGGCCCCCGGGCUGGUGCGCGCCUGCCAGAGGACCUUCUCAACUCUGUGUGUCAGUGUCGUCUGAGUGUGAUUGAGAAACAAUCGUUA